GCCGGGUGAGAACCACUGGCUAGCAGGUUACCGGAAGUAGAGUGGCACAGGGAGAGGAACAGGGUCGGCUCGAUCGACGGCUAUAAAUCAGGAAGGACAUGCGAAGCUCGCCGCUCUUUCCACCUCUAUCGGGACAAAACUCCUUCCAGGAGCACGGUUCUGCCUUUCGACGGAGUUAUCGAGCGAUGGAUAAAGGAAGAAAACUGAACUCCCGCCAGUGUAUUCUUCGUCUAUGCGACGAACGAACAUUCUGCUUCCUUGAACAUCGAGUUUACGACAAGAAUGCUUAACGCUUCCCGUUGUUCGCGACAUCGUUAUCGUGCAACUCGCCGGCGAGAGCGACAGAGAGCCCCAGUAAUUGCCACGACAGACAUCUCGAUCAUGCGAUACACCUGAGCGAGGGAGAAUUUCCGGAACAUCUUAAGGAUCGUUCAAAGCUCUGCGUAGGCAGCUUACCAUCGCUCGUAUACCAUCGGCACAUAACUGGUAAUUACGCGGGCCAAGCGUCAUUACCGCACCCUGACCCUUCCUCCUUUAUUGCCCCGCGGAAACGACGGAACCGUGGAAAUGCCAUUUGUACGCAGCCACCAGCGGAAAACGAUCGGCGAUCUCGUUCGACCAACCAAGAAACGACCUAUCACCUGGGACGCCUAUUCUUUCCCAACCACCUGCGUCCUCCGUGCUUGAUCCCACCUACCCUGGCACAAUUCCUCUUCUCGAGCAACCAGUAGGGAAAAUAGCACGGCCGAUUCCAUCGAACGUCCCUAUAUAUCGGCAAGCAAAGGGUGGCGAGAAUUCCGCGUAAUGGAGAGGAAAG
This 817-nucleotide unclassified non-coding RNA is filed under the name Bombus terrestris (buff-tailed bumblebee). RNAcentral's name for it is "misc RNA ENSBTSG00005030768.1". Lineage: Eukaryota; Metazoa; Arthropoda; Insecta; Hymenoptera; Apidae. The record is from RNAcentral.